Non-coding RNA from Podarcis lilfordi (Lilford's wall lizard), 74 nucleotides. The record is from the annotation of a GenBank genome assembly. Lineage: Eukaryota; Metazoa; Chordata; Lepidosauria; Squamata; Lacertidae.
GGAAGGGUGUAGUUCAGUGGUGGAACAUUUGAUUUGCAGCCAGAAUGUCCCACGUUCAAUCCUUGCCACCUCCU